This 298-nucleotide unclassified non-coding RNA is filed under the name uncultured Chytridiomycota. RNAcentral describes it as "sequence contains ITS2". The record is from RNAcentral. Lineage: Eukaryota; Fungi; Chytridiomycota.
UUUCACCUCACACAACCAAUGGUUUUUAAAAGCUGUAAUGGCGCCAAGUGGUUAUUGUGGUAUUGAGUGUCUUCCCACUUGUUAAACGAGAGGGUCACUUGAAAUACUUGGUAACUUUCAUGAGUCCAAGAAUGCUUCGCUAUAUGUCUUGAAAAGCUCAAAGUACCGCUAAGUUUAAGCCUUUACUGGUCACUCUUUAGCUGGGAAAUUUUCGAGAUUGAAGUAGUCGACAGACUUCUACUACCAAACUUGAUAUCGACUAGCAGUCGUAGCUACUGUCUAAUCGAAAUCUUUGAAC